RNAcentral lists this long non-coding RNA (396 nucleotides) under Ananas comosus (pineapple). Its description in RNAcentral is "long non-coding RNA (ACOM_LNC001970)". Lineage: Eukaryota; Viridiplantae; Streptophyta; Magnoliopsida; Poales; Bromeliaceae. The record is from RNAcentral.
AGGCGGUGAACGGUUCACCGCCUUCAUUAGGUAUAACCCGUCGCAACAGCUCUCUUUCUCACGCCCGCUUUUGCUUUCUCUAUCUCUCUUUCUCUCUCUCUCUCUCUCUCUCUCUCUGCCUUUCUCUCUAUAGGAGCGCUCGCCGGUCGCCCCCGCCCCUACCGUCGCCGCCUCCGCCGGUCGCCGAUUGUCGUCGCCCUCUCGGUCGCCCCUGCCAACCCCGCCACCUUCCUCAGCAACCCACAUUGCAGGUAGCUCCAUGGCUCCCUGCCGAAUUUUCUCAAAAUAUUUAGUUGAAUUUUUCAGUUUAUUAAGUUAGAUUUUUAUUAAAUUUUAUUACUCAAUUUGCUAUUAGAUGUAAAUUAGUUUAAAUAAACUAUUAAGUUUAAUAGUUGG